Molecule: ribosomal RNA, 253 nt
Filed under: uncultured bacterium
Lineage: Bacteria
Description: partial 16S ribosomal RNA
Rfam family: Bacterial small subunit ribosomal RNA
Source: RNAcentral
UACGGGGGGGGCAAGCGUUGUUCGGAAUUACUGGGCGUAAAGGGCCCGUAGGCGGCCAACUAAGUCAGACGUGAAAUCCCCAGGCUCAACCUGGGAACUGCGUCUGAUACUGGAUGGCUUGAAUUCGGGAGAGGGAUGCAGAAUUCCAGGUGUAGCGGUGAAAUGCGUAGAUAUCAGGAGGAACACCGGUGGCGAAGGCGGGUCUCUGGGCCGAUACUGACGCUGAGGAGCGAAAGCGUGGGGAGCGAACAGG